GUGCUCACUUUAGAGGCACAGAUCCUAAAGUUGGAAUGAUGCAGGAAGAUUACAUGUCCCCUCCGCAAAGAUGACACAUAGAUUUGUGAAAUGUUCCAUAUUGUU
Molecule: non-coding RNA, 105 nt
Organism: Erinaceus europaeus (western European hedgehog)
Lineage: Eukaryota; Metazoa; Chordata; Mammalia; Eulipotyphla; Erinaceidae
Source: Rfam